Molecule: ribosomal RNA, 427 nt
Filed under: uncultured bacterium
Lineage: Bacteria
Description: bacterial SSU rRNA
Rfam family: Bacterial small subunit ribosomal RNA
Source: RNAcentral
CAAGGCGACGAUUGGUAGCCGGACUGAGAGGAUGAACGGCCACAUUGGGACUGAGACACGGCCCAGACUCCUACGGGAGGCAGCAGUGGGGGAUAUUGCACAAUGGGGGAAACCCUGAUGCAGCGACGCCGCGUGGAGGAAGAAGGUUUUCGGAUUGUAAACUCCUGUCGUUAGGGACGAUAAUGACGGUACCUAACAAGAAAGCACCGGCUAACUACGUGCCAGCAGCCGCGGUAAAACGUAGGGUGCAAGCGUUGUCCGGAAUUACUGGGUGUAAAGAGAGCGCAGGCGGGAAGACAAGUUGGAAGUGAAAACCAUGGGCUCAACCCAUGAAUUGCUUUCAAAACUGUUUUUCUUGAGUAGUGCAGAGGUAGAUGGAAUUCCCGGAGUAGCGGUGGAAUGCGUACAUAUCGGGAGGAACACCAGU